This 213-nucleotide long non-coding RNA is filed under the name Elaeis guineensis (African oil palm). Its description in RNAcentral is "long non-coding RNA (EGUI_LNC055594)". Lineage: Eukaryota; Viridiplantae; Streptophyta; Magnoliopsida; Arecales; Arecaceae. The record is from RNAcentral.
CGCCAAUCUUGGCGACCUGCCAUCAUCGUUCGUGGCCUCCGGCAAUGUCUCCAUCGGGAAGUGCUCCACUGACAUGAUCUCUAGUGCCUCAUUCCCCUUCAUCUCCACCUCCCUCUCCCUCUACCUCUAAAAAUAAUUAGAUCUAACUAAAGGGUAUACUGGUAUUAUUUAAAGUAAAAUGAUGUCAAAAGCAUAUCCUAUCAUGGUAGGUCU